Long non-coding RNA from Bombina bombina (fire-bellied toad), 389 nucleotides. RefSeq lists it as uncharacterized. The transcript is spliced from 3 exons. Lineage: Eukaryota; Metazoa; Chordata; Amphibia; Anura; Bombinatoridae. The record is from RefSeq and is a predicted model, not a curated record.
AUUUAUUUACAUUUAUUAAUAAAAUAUUCUGUGUUUCUUUCUCAUGUUUUUCAUAGAAUUCUAAAGAAAAACUGUAGACUUGACUUUGAGGGAGGAGACAGACCUUAAAAAAGAGGAUGCUACAAGGAGUUCACGGCAAAUUUUCCAGAAGUAAUUCUUCCGUACGGCUAUACCGAUGUUGUUCUUCCAGUUGAGGAGCUUGAGUCUGGGCUGUCUGCUCAUCCACAAUGGGGGCAUGGUCUUCUGUUGAUGUUUGGUCAACGAUGACAGAUGACGAUGGUGAAAAGCAUGUUGCUUGAAUAUUUUCAACAGGACUUCCCUCUACACAAAGAACAGUUUGUUAUAACUUACGUGGAGGAGUAGUGGGCAUCUCUCCACUUCCGAAGGCU